This 486-nucleotide long non-coding RNA is filed under the name Elaeis guineensis (African oil palm). Its description in RNAcentral is "long non-coding RNA (EGUI_LNC078690)". The record is from RNAcentral. Lineage: Eukaryota; Viridiplantae; Streptophyta; Magnoliopsida; Arecales; Arecaceae.
GUGGUCUAGUGCAGCACGCAUGGGCUUCAACAGUGAAGAGCCCGAGCCUGUGAAGAGAGAGAGAGAGAUCGUGAUGCUAUGUAGAGAACGAGCAGGAGGCUCCUGGAUAGCAGACAGUGGUCACUUCAGGAGUUCAGAGGGGUCUUCCUAAAGAGAGAGCUUUUGUUAGGGAGAACUUCUUGUAAGUGAGAAAUUGAAUGUAUGAGAGUUGAGGGUGAGAUCUCCUCUUGUAAUAUUUCUUUUUCAUAGUGAAGUUUGCAUGCUCCGUGGAGGCGAGCUCUUUUUGGCUGAUUCACGUAUUUUGAUUAUUUUUGUUUUAUUUCUUUUUUCUUUCUACUGCAUCGCGUGGUAUCAAAAAAGUCCUGGGAGGUAGUGUCCUGGCUAAACAUCCACCCUACAAGUGGUAUCAGUAUGAGAUGGUACAAAGAUGCAGAUUACAGCAGUGGUGAGCAAGACUGAAGAUGGAGAAGACAGGAACAAUCAGGA